RNAcentral lists this non-coding RNA (24 nucleotides) under Gossypium hirsutum (cotton). The record is from RNAcentral. Lineage: Eukaryota; Viridiplantae; Streptophyta; Magnoliopsida; Malvales; Malvaceae.
ACACACCUGUUUGMGACGAUAUGC